UACGUAGGGGGCGAGCGUUGUCCGGAGUUACUGGGCGUAAAGCGCACGCAGGCGGUCUGCUAAGUUUGGAGUGACAGUUGGUGGCUUAACUGCCAAAGUGCUUCGAAAAACUGACAGACUUGAGGGCUUCAGAGGGACACGGAAUUCCGGGUGGAGUGGUGAAAUGCGUAGAGAUCCGGAGGAACACCAAAGGCGAAGGCGGUGUCCUGGGGAGUACCUGACGCUCAGGUGCGAAAGCCAGGGGAGCGAACGGG
Molecule: ribosomal RNA, 254 nt
Filed under: uncultured bacterium
Lineage: Bacteria
Description: partial 16S ribosomal RNA
Rfam family: Bacterial small subunit ribosomal RNA
Source: RNAcentral